CUGAAUAACUUCGCUGAUCACACAGUCUAGAACUGGUGACAUAUCUUUCAAGUGUCUGCCCUAUCAACUUUCGAUGGUAGUUUAUGUGCCUACCAUGGUGGUAACGGGUAACGGAGAAUAAGGGUUCGACUCCGGAGAGGGAGCCUGAGAAAUGGCUACCACAUCCAAGGAAGGCAGCAGGCGCGCAAAUUACCCAAUCUCAGUCCGAGGAGGUAGUGACGAAAAAUAACGAGACAGUUCUCUAUGAGGCCUGUCAUCGGAAUGGGUACAAUUUAAACCCUUUAACGAGGAUCUAUUGGAGGGCAAGUCUGGUGCCAGCAGCCGCGGUAAUUCCAGCUCCAAUAGCAUAUACCAAUUCUGUUGCUGUUAAAAA
This 373-nucleotide ribosomal RNA is filed under the name Nematoda sp. RNAcentral's name for it is "SSU rRNA". It matches the Rfam family "Eukaryotic small subunit ribosomal RNA", at positions 252 to 625 of the family's 1831-position model. Lineage: Eukaryota; Metazoa; Nematoda. The record is from RNAcentral.